Molecule: ribosomal RNA, 1043 nt
Filed under: uncultured archaeon
Lineage: Archaea
Description: bacterial SSU rRNA
Rfam family: Archaeal small subunit ribosomal RNA
Source: RNAcentral
UCUGGUUGAUCCUGGCGGAGGCCACUGCUAUCGGAGUUCGAUUAAGCCAUGCGAGUCGAGAGGUGAAAGACCUCGGCAUACUGCUCAGUAACACGUGGACAAUCUAACCUACGGAGGGGGAUAACCCCGGGAAACUGGGGAUAAUACCCCAUAGACUAUGGAUGCUGGAAUGCUUUGUAGUCGAAAGGUCCGCCGCCGUAGGAUGGGUCUGCGGCCGAUUAGGUUGUUGUUGGGGUAACGGCCCAACAAGCCUGUAAUCGGUACGGGUUGUGGGAGCAAGAGCCCGGAGAUGGAUUCUGAGACACGAAUCCAGGCCCUACGGGGCGCAGCAGGCGCGAAAACUUUACAAUGCGGGAAACCGUGAUAGGGGAACUCCGAGUGCCCGUUAAAUCGGGCUGUCCAUCUGUUUAAAUAACAGGUGAAGAAAGGGUCGGGCAAGACCGGUGCCAGCCGCCGCGGUAAUACCGGCGGCUCGAGUGGUGGCCACUAUUACUGGGCUUAAAGCGUUCGUAGCUGGUUUGUUAAGUCUCUGGGGAAAUCUUCCGGCUUAACCGGAAGGCGUCUCAGGGAUACUGGCAGACUAGGGACCGGGAGAGGUGAGGGGUACUCCAGGGGUAGGAGUGAAAUCCUGUAAUCCUUGGGGGACCACCUGUGGCGAAGGCGCCUCACCAGAACGGCUCCGACAGUGAGGGACGAAAGCUGGGGGAGCAAACCGGAUUAGAUACCCGGGUAGUCCCAGCUGUAAACGAUGCGCGUUAGGUGUAUCGGUGACCACGAGUCACCGAGGUGCCGAAGAGAAAUCGUGAAACGUGCCGCCUGGGAAGUACGGUCGCAAGGCUGAAACUUAAAGGAAUUGGCGGGGGAGCACCACAACGGGUGGAGCCUGCGGUUUAAUCGGACUCAACGCCGGGAAACUCACCAGUUAAGACAGCUGAAUGAUAGUCGGGCUGAAGACUCUACUUGACUAGCUGAGAGGAGGUGCAUGGCCGUCGUCAGUUCGUACUGUGAAGCAUCCUGUUAAGUCAGGCAACGAGCGAGACCCA